GAUGAAGAACGUAGCUAAAUGCGAUAAGUAAUGCGAAUUGCAGAAUCCGUGAGUCAUCGAAUCUUUGAACGCACAUUGCGCCCUUUGGUAUUCCGAAGGGCAUGCCUGUUCGAGCGUCAUUAUCACCCCUCAAGCCCCGGCUUGGUGUUGGGCUCUCGGUGGUCGUCUCCGACCACCCGUCUCAAAGAUAGUGACGGCGUCCCAGAGGGAACCGGUACGAGGAGCUUUCACGAGCAUGUACGCGGGACGACUCUGCGGGCGACGGUCUUAUUUACUUUAUAUACAAGUGUUGACCUCGGAUCAGGUAGGAAUACCCGCUGAACUUAAGCAUAUCAAUAAGCGGAGGA
This 347-nucleotide unclassified non-coding RNA is filed under the name soil metagenome. Its description in RNAcentral is "partial contains 5.8S ribosomal RNA, internal transcribed spacer 2, and large subunit ribosomal RNA". The stretch from base 1 to 119 matches the Rfam family "5.8S ribosomal RNA", at positions 35 to 154 of the family's 154-position model. The record is from RNAcentral.